AUGUUGGACAGCGACACUGAGUCAGUCAUGUCCGGCAACGACGGUACCAAGGCCAACAAGAAUGGCGAUAAGGUGAAGAAGGGCGGCAAGUCAGCGACCAGUGGUGGCGGAACGGGUGGCGCCAAUGUACGUGCGCAUCGCAACAUCCCCAUCCAGUACCCAAUGCUCACCGACGCCAACUACGGCAUGUGGGCGGUCAACAUGAAGAUUAUUCUCCGAACCCUACGAGUGUGGGAGGCCAUCACAGACGACGACGUCGACAAGGAGUGCGACGAAGGUGCCAUGGCCGCCAUAGCCCAGAUCGUGCCGGAUUCUGUGCUGAUGACAUUGGCGGAGUUUGAGACAGCAAGAGAGGCGUGUAACACACUCAAAGAGAUGAGGAUCGGAGAAGAUCGCGUCACGAAGGCUCGGGCACAAGUGCUGAAGCGCCAAUUUCACAAGUUGCAGAUGGAGGAAACUGAAUCGGUGAACGACUAUGCCAUGCGUCUGUCUACUUUGAUGGGAGAGAUACUUGCGCUUGGUGCAAAGCUCGAGUAA
RNAcentral lists this ribosomal RNA (537 nucleotides) under Triticum aestivum (bread wheat). Its description in RNAcentral is "partial small subunit ribosomal RNA". The record is from RNAcentral. Lineage: Eukaryota; Viridiplantae; Streptophyta; Magnoliopsida; Poales; Poaceae.